CCAGCUCUAACCAUGGAAUACUGGGAAUGUCCCUUUCUAUGAAGGAGGUUUGCUGGCCACAACAGGAAUAUUCAUGAACAUGGAGGGGUUGGGCAUGUUCCAGGAUCUGUCUAUAGACUUCUCUCAGGAGGAAUGGGAGUGCCUGGACGCUGCUCAGAAGGACUGAUACAGAGAUGUAAUGAUGGAGAACUAUAGCAGCCUGGUCUCACUAGGUCUCUCUAUCCCAAAGCCUGAUGUGAUUUCCUUACUGGAGCAAGGGAAAGAGCCCUGGAUGGUUUCAAGGGACAUACCGGGAGGAUGGUGCCCAGUUUUCCUUUAAUGCAGCCACUUCAUGCAUCAAUAGAUAUUCA
Molecule: long non-coding RNA, 350 nt
Filed under: Homo sapiens (human)
Lineage: Eukaryota; Metazoa; Chordata; Mammalia; Primates; Hominidae
Description: HSALNT0149547
Source: RNAcentral